Molecule: ribosomal RNA, 464 nt
Filed under: uncultured bacterium
Lineage: Bacteria
Description: bacterial SSU rRNA
Rfam family: Bacterial small subunit ribosomal RNA
Source: RNAcentral
ACUCCUACGGGAGGCAGCAGUGAGGAAUAUUGGUCAAUGGGCGCAAGCCUGAACCAGCCAUCCCGCGUGCAGGAAGACGGCCCUAUGGGUUGUAAACUGCUUUUCCAGGGAGAGAAACUUACGCACGUGUUGCGUGACUGACGGUACCCUGGGAAUAAGCAUCGGCUAACUCCGUGCCAGCAGCCGCGGUAAUACGGAGGAUGCAAGCGUUAUCCGGAUUCAUUGGGUUUAAAGGGUGCGUAGGCGGGCUAUUAAGUCAGUGGUGAAAUCCUGCAGCUUAACUGCAGAACUGCCGUUGAUACUGAUAGUCUUGAGUUUGGUUAAGGUAGGCGGAAUGUGUAAUGUAGCGGUGAAAUGCUUAGAUAUUACACAGAACACCAAUUGCGUAGGCAGCUUACUGAGCCGACACUGACGCUGAGGCACGAAAGCGUGGGGAUCAAACAGGAUUAGAUACCCUGGUAGUC